RNAcentral lists this ribosomal RNA (492 nucleotides) under uncultured bacterium. Its description in RNAcentral is "partial 16S ribosomal RNA". It matches the Rfam family "Bacterial small subunit ribosomal RNA", at positions 29 to 507 of the family's 1533-position model. The record is from RNAcentral.
AGUGAACGCUGGCGGUAGGCCUAACACAUGCAAGUCGAGCGAACACACAAUAAGCUUUUUCUCCUACGGGUGGCGGGUGGCGGACGGGUAACGAAUGCAUCGCCUACUACUUAUUCUGGGGGGACAACGUGGGGCAGCAGACACUACUACCUCAUACAACCUACCGCAUGAAUCAAUAGUGCUUCAGAGCUUGGCCGAUUCAUUUAGACGACGUCGCAUUAGCUAGUUGGGGUGGUAAGGGCCCACCAAGGCAACGAUACGUAGCGGGCCUGAGAGGAUGAUCAGCCACACUGGAACUGAGACACGGUCCAGACUCCUACGGGAGGCAGCAGUAGGGAAUCUUCGGCAAUGGGCGCAAGCCUGACGGAGCCAUGCCGCGUGAGUGAAGAAGGCCUUCGGAUUGUAAAGCCCUGUUGUUGGGGAAGAAAAACUGCGUAAGAAUCCACGGCUGUUCUGACGGUACCCAAAGAAUAAGCACCGGCUAACUUCGUG